UACGUAGGGUGCGAGCGUUAAUCGGAUUUAUUGGGCGUAAAGCGAGCGCAGGUGGUUUAUUAAGUCUGGUGUAAAAGGCAGUGGCUCAACCAUUGUAUGCAUUGGAAACUGGUAGACUUGAGUGCAGUAGAGGAGAGUGGAAUUCCAUGUGUAGCGGUGAAAUGCGUAGAUAUAUGGAGGAACACCGGUGGCGAAAGCGGCUCUCUGGACUGUAACUGACACUGAGGCUCGAAAGCGUGGGUAGCAAACAGG
RNAcentral lists this ribosomal RNA (252 nucleotides) under uncultured microorganism. RNAcentral describes it as "partial 16S ribosomal RNA". It matches the Rfam family "Bacterial small subunit ribosomal RNA", at positions 524 to 776 of the family's 1533-position model. The record is from RNAcentral.